This 253-nucleotide ribosomal RNA is filed under the name uncultured bacterium. RNAcentral's name for it is "partial 16S ribosomal RNA". It matches the Rfam family "Bacterial small subunit ribosomal RNA", at positions 524 to 776 of the family's 1533-position model. The record is from RNAcentral.
GACAGAGGUGCCAAGCGUUAGGCGGAAUCGCUGGGCUUAAAGCGUGUGUAGGUGGAUGUCUAAGUACCUUGUGAAAUCCCACGGCUCAACCGUGGAACUGCUCGGUAUACUGGAUGUCUUGAGCCACUUAGGGGCUACCGGAACAAAUGGUGGAGCGGUGAAAUGCGUAGAUAUCAUUUGGAACGCCAAUGGUGAAAACAGGUAGCUGGGAGUGUGCUGACACUGAGACACGAAAGCCAGGGGAGCGAACGGG